Molecule: ribosomal RNA, 447 nt
Filed under: uncultured bacterium
Lineage: Bacteria
Description: bacterial SSU rRNA
Rfam family: Bacterial small subunit ribosomal RNA
Source: RNAcentral
UAGGGAAUUUUCCACAAUGGACGAAAGCCUGACCCAGCAACGCCGCGUGAAGGAUGAAGUAUUUCGGUAUGUAAACUUCGAAAGAAUAGGAAGAAUAAAUGACGGUACUAUUUAUAAGGUCCGGCUAACUACGUGCCAGCAGCCGCGGUAAUACGUAGGGACCAAGCGUUGUUCGGAUUUACUGGGCGUAAAGGGCGCGUAGGCGGCAAUUCAAGUCAUCUGUGAAAUCUCCGGGCUUAACUCGGAACGGUCAGAUGAUACUGCUUUGCUAGAGUGCAGAAGGGGCAAUCGGAAUUCUUGGUGUAGCGGUGAAAUGCGUAGAUAUCAAGAGGAACACCUGAGGUGAAGACGGGUUGCUGGGCUGACACUGACGCUGAGGCGCGAAAGCGUGGGGAGCAAACAGGAUUAGAUACCCCUGUAGUCCCUGAGCGGGCUGGCAAGGCGCAU